CAGCAGCCGCGGGAAUACGAAGGGGGCUAGCGUUGCUCGGAAUGACUGGGCGUAAAGGGCGCGUAGGCGGCUGACACAGUCAGAUGUGAAAUUCCUGGGCUCAACCUGGGGACUGCAUUUGAGACGUGUUGGCUUGAGUGGAGAAGAGGGUCGUGGAAUUUCCAGUGUAGAGGUGAAAUUCGUAGAUAUUGGAAAGAACACCGGUGGCGAAGGCGGCGACCUGGUCUUUAACUGACGCUGAGGCGCGAAAGCGUGGGGAGCAAACAGGAUUAGAGACCCCUGUAGUCCCUGUCUCUUAUAC
RNAcentral lists this ribosomal RNA (301 nucleotides) under uncultured bacterium. RNAcentral describes it as "partial 16S ribosomal RNA". It matches the Rfam family "Bacterial small subunit ribosomal RNA", at positions 509 to 807 of the family's 1533-position model. The record is from RNAcentral.